CAUUCUGACUGAAUAAGUGAAUAUGUAUGUAGCCACUAGCCUUUUUUCCCUGCGCCAUCCACAGUGCUCCCAGGGGUGAGACAAAUUCAUCCACACAAUGAAACCAUAUGAUGGAUCAUGCAUGCACCACAACAGCAACAUCACAGAUCAAAACAGACAUAUUCAUGCGCCUGAUCUCCCAAGCAUCAUAUCUCAAGGCCGGCCCAAGCACUGGAUGAAGACUGUUGAGGGGCAAAGAUUCAGAGGUUGUGUCAGCCAGUGGCGUUGCCCAACACCACGCUCAAAGGCACACGCCACACACAGCCACAGCCACAACACAGCAUGCAUAAACACUCCGUCACACACACACAACCACAUAAGAAGCAUUCAAAAAGAACAAUCAAUGGGAAGGGGAUGCAGGGCAUGACCAUUUAAGGAAGCAUCCUUGAAUAAACAAAUGGGGGCCAGAUUUUGGAUUCAACACCUGAAUUUGUGAAAAUGCCACCUUUGGAUCAGAACACGCAACCAAAAAUGAAUACAACAAUGCACAAUCAGUCCAACAUUCCCAAACAAAAAUGCUGAAUUCUGAUUUAAACUACAGCUUUUCUAAGAUGUAACUUUACAACUGGUGAUCAACCGCAUGGUCUUGAUUAUUCUUCAUUUGGAUUAUGUAAGCAUAUAUUAAUAUGCUUGGCAUGUUAAAACAGUCAGGUGUAUUUGCUUUAAUCAUAAUCCACAUAAAGAUGGGGAUUAGAGCAAUGACAUAUGAGAAAUAUACCUAUAUUUUCCACUGCUCUCAGAUUUUAGAGAACGGACAUUAGAACCAUAACCAUGUUCCCCGUUGCUCUUAAAUUUGAUGUAUAUUUAGAUGACGAGCUAAGCAAGUAUUAGGCAAAAACAAAAAACAUACUACAGAAUACACAUGGGUCUCAUCCAGCAGUGGGGUGUGUGGGAGAGGGUUGGAAUCCUUUCGGAUCUGAGGAAGGCGUAUGCUAAAAUGGUAAAAAAAUAUGGUCGAAAAUAGGGGACGAGAACGACGAGAAGGGCGUGAGAUCCAGACUUACUCAGUUCGUGAUGGCGUUCCUGUAGAGCUCCCGCAAGGUGAUGGGGAACUCCACCGCCAUCCUCCGUCCUCAAGUUCCCCGUCCGCCCACCGGAUUUGGUUGUUGUUGCCCCGCGUGUGGAUCCGCUGACGGGAGAAGCCGACGCUGUGCGCUAGUCAAUUUGGACUGAAAAAAAAAGAAGCAAUGGAAGAUAGAAAACAGGGGGUCCAGUGAAAACAAAUCAGUUUUGUCCUUACCCUUUUAGUCCUUCCGCGCCGUCCAGAUAGGUGAUAUAGAAUAAAAAUAAACUACGGGGAUAAUUCUGAAAAUAACCACAUCGUCUUCAACCUCAGAAACCCCUAACCCCCCGUGAUUAGAGAGAGAAAUCGGGAUCAAAUUCAGGUCGUGAUUCUUUGCACCGGCCGAAACUUUUCUUGGGGGAGGGGCGGAUCUUUAGACAAUUAGCUUGAUUCCCCUCUCCCCUUGCUACAAUCUUGGCGAUCCCAUCACGUGUCAUCGCCCAGCCCCCUUUCCCAUCACACACAGAGCCAAAAAANNN
Molecule: long non-coding RNA, 1581 nt
Filed under: Triticum aestivum (bread wheat)
Lineage: Eukaryota; Viridiplantae; Streptophyta; Magnoliopsida; Poales; Poaceae
Description: long non-coding RNA (TAES_LNC019090)
Source: RNAcentral